Molecule: RNA transcript, 1433 nt
Organism: Piliocolobus tephrosceles (Ugandan red Colobus)
Lineage: Eukaryota; Metazoa; Chordata; Mammalia; Primates; Cercopithecidae
Gene name: 26S proteasome regulatory subunit 7 pseudogene
Exons: 1
Source: RefSeq, a predicted model, not a curated record
GCUGUGUAAUCAUUAAGAAGAGGAGGCAUUUGGAGCUGCCAAAAUGCCGGAUUACCUUGGUGCCGAUCAGCGGAAGACCAAAGAGGAUGAGAAGGACGACAAGCCCAUCCAAGCUCUGGAUGAGGGGGAUAUUGCCUUGCUAAAAACUUACGGUCAGAGCACUUACUCUAGGCAGAUCAAGCAAGUUGAAGAUGACAUUCAGCAACUUCUCAAGAAAAUUAAUGAGCUCACUGGUAUUAAAGAAUCUGACACUGGCCUGGCCCCACCAGCACUCUGGGAUUUGGCUGCAGAUAAGCAGACACUCCAGAGUGAACAGCCUUCACAGGUUGCCAGGUGUACGAAGAUAAUCAGUGCUGAUUCGGAGGACCCAAAAUACAUUAUCAACGUAAAGCAGUUUGCCAAGUUUGUGGUGGACCUUAGUGAUCAGGUGGCACCUACUGACAUUGAAGAAGGGAUGAGAGUGGGUGUGGACAGAAAUAAAUAUCAAAUUCACAUUCCAUUGCCUCCUAAGAUUGACCCAACAGUUACCAUGAUGCAGGUGGAAGAGAAACCUGAUGUCACAUACAGUGAUGCUGGUGGUUGUAAGGAACAGAUUGAGAAAUUGCGAGAAGUAGUUGAAACCCCAUUACUUCAUCCAGAGAGGUUUGUAAACCUUGGCAUUGAGCCUCCCAAGGGCGUGCUGCUCUUUGGUCCACCCAGUACAGGCAAGACACUCUGUGCGCGGGGCAGUUGCUAAUGGGACUGAUGCGUGCUUCAUUCGAGUUAUUGGAUCUGAGCUCGUACAGAAAUACGUCGGUGAGGGGGCUCGAAUGGUUCGUGAACUCUUUGAAAUGGCCAGAACAAAAAAAGCCUGCCUUAUCUUCUUUGAUGAAAUUGAUGCUAUUGGAGGGGCUCGGUUUGAUGAUGGUGCUGGAGGUGACAAUGAAGUGCAGAGAGCAAUGUUGGAACUGAUGAAUCAGCUUGAUGGUUUUGAUCCUCGAGGCAAUAUUAAAGUGCUAAUGGCCACUAACAGACCUGAUACUUUGGAUCCAGCACUGAUAAGGCCAGGGAGAUUGGCUAGAAAAAUUGAAUUUAGCUUGCCCGAUCUAGAGGGUCGGACCCACAUAUUUAAGAUUCACGCUUGUUCAAUGAGUGUUGAAAGAGAUAUCAGAUUUGAAUUGUUAGCACGACUGUGUCCAAAUAGCACUGGUGCUGAGAUUAGAAGCGUCUGCACAGAAGCUGGUAUGUUUGCCAUCAGAGCACGGCGAAAAAUCGCUACUGAGAAGGAUUUCUUGGAAGCUGUAAAUAAGGUCAUAAAGUCUUAUGCCAAAUUCAGUGCUACUCCUCGUUACAUGACAUACAACUGAACCCUGAAGGCUUUCAGGUGAAAACUUUAGAUUGGAAUCCUAACCUUACAUAGACUUGUUAAUAACCACUUCAUAAACAAAUAAAUG